Molecule: ribosomal RNA, 284 nt
Filed under: uncultured bacterium
Lineage: Bacteria
Description: partial 16S ribosomal RNA
Rfam family: Bacterial small subunit ribosomal RNA
Source: RNAcentral
AGCGAACGCUGGCGGCGUACUUAACACAUGCAAGUCGAACGAGGAUCGCCUGUGUAGCAAUACAUAGGCGGUUCUAGUGGCGUACGGGUGAGUAACACGUGGGCAACCUGCCCUUGAGUCCGGGAUACCCUCUCGAAAGGGAGGCUAAUACUGGAUACGUUCCUCGGGUCGCGAGAUCUGGGGAGGAAAGGUAGGCGAAAGACUGCCGCUCUUGGAGGGGCUUGCGGCCUANCAGCUAGUUGGUGAGGUAAUGGCUCACCAAGGCUAUGACGGGUAGCUGGUCU